GGCUACCAUGCAGGUCGAGGGGCAGCAUUUUAGUUUGCUUGCAAACUAAAGAUGGCGACCGGCGCACGGGCUGAGCUAACACGCUAUCCAACCUGCCGAUAACUCGGGGAUAGCCUUUCGAAAGAAAGAUUAAUAUCCGAUAGUAUAUUAAAACCGCAUGGUUUUACUAUUAAAGAAUUUCGGUUAUCGAUGGGGAUGCGUUCCAUUAGUUUGUUGGCGGGGUAACGGCCCACCAAGACUACGAUGGAUAGGGGUUCUGAGAGGAAGGUCCCCCACAUUGGAACUGAGACACGGUCCAAACUCAUACGGGAGGCAGCAGUGAGGAAUAUUGGUCAAUGGACGAGAGUCUGAACCAGCCAAGUAGCGUGAAGGAUGACUGCCCUAUGGGUUGUAAACUUCUUUUAUAUGGGAAUAAAGUAUUCCACGUGUGGGAUUUUUGUAUGUACCAUAUGAAUAAGGAUCGGCUAACUCCGUGCCAGCAGCCGCGGUAAUACGGAGGAUCCGAGCGUUAUCCCGGAUUUAUUGGGUUUAAAGGGAGCGUAGGUGGAUUGUUAAGUCAGUUGUGAAAGUUUGCGGCUCAACCGUAAAAUUGCAGUUGAAACUGGCAGUCUUGAGUACAGUAGAGGUGGGCGGAAUUCGUGGUGUAGCGGUGAAAUGCUUAGAUAUCACGAAGAACUCCGAUUGCGAAGGCAGCUCACUAGACUGCAACUGACACUGAUGCUCGAAAGUGUGGGUAUCAAACAGGAUUAGAUACCCUGGUAGUCCACACAGUAAACGAUGAAUACUCGCUGUUUGCGAUAUACAGUAAGCGGCCAAGCGAAAGCAUUAAGUAUUCCACCUGGGGAGUACGCCGGCAACGGUGAAACUCAAAGGAAUUGACGGGGGGCCCGCACAAGCGGAGGAACAUGUGGUUUAAUUCGAUGAUACGCGAGGAACCUUACCCGGGCUUAAAUUGCAUUUGAAUAAUCUGGGAAACAGGUUAGCCCCAANGGCAAAUGUGAAGGUGCUGCAUGGUUGUCGUCACCUCGUGCCGUGAGGUGUCGGCUUAAGUGCCAUAACGAGCGCAACCCUUAUCUUUAGUUACUAACAGGUCAUGCUGAGGACUCUAGAGAGACUGCCGUCGUAAGAUGUGAGGAAGGUGGGGAUGACGUCAAAUCAGCACGGCCCUUACGUCCGGGGCUACACACGUGUUACAAUGGGGGGUACAGAAGGCAGCUACCUGGCGACAGGAUGCUAAUCCCAAAAACCUCUCUCAGUUCGGAUCGAAGUCUGCAACCCGACUUCGUGAAGCUGGAUUCGCUAGUAAUCGCGNAUCAGCCAUGGCGCGGUGAAUACGUUCCCGGGCCUUGUNCNAAAGGGCCCGUCAAGCCAUGAAAGCCGGGGGUACCUGAAGUACGUACCGCAAGAGCUCNAG
RNAcentral lists this ribosomal RNA (1414 nucleotides) under bacterium NLAE-zl-C193. Its description in RNAcentral is "bacterial SSU rRNA". It matches the Rfam family "Bacterial small subunit ribosomal RNA". The record is from RNAcentral.